RNAcentral lists this ribosomal RNA (252 nucleotides) under uncultured bacterium. Its description in RNAcentral is "partial 16S ribosomal RNA". It matches the Rfam family "Bacterial small subunit ribosomal RNA", at positions 524 to 776 of the family's 1533-position model. The record is from RNAcentral.
UACAGAGGGUGCGAGCGUUAAUCGGAAUUACUGGGCGUAAGCGCGCGUAGGCGGCUUUGCAAGUCGGGUGUGAAAUCCCCAGGCUUAACCUGGGAACUGCAUUCGAGACUGCAUUGCUAGAGUAUGGGAGAGGGAAGUGGAAUUUCAGGUGUAGCGGUGAAAUGCGUAGAUAUCUGAAGGAACAUCAGUGGCGAAAGCGACUUCCUGGACCAAUACUGACGCUCAUGUGCGAAAGCGUGGGGAGCAAACAGG